Non-coding RNA from Otolemur garnettii (small-eared galago), 107 nucleotides. NCBI's taxonomy places the organism in Eukaryota, Metazoa, Chordata, Mammalia, Primates, Galagidae. The record is from Rfam.
GUGCUCACUUCAGCAGCACAUAUACUAAAAUUGGAAUGAUAGAGAGAAGAUUAGCAUGGCCCCUGCACAAGGAUGACACGCAUAUUAAAGAAAAAAAACAACUAAGC